Molecule: long non-coding RNA, 2353 nt
Organism: Capra hircus (goat)
Lineage: Eukaryota; Metazoa; Chordata; Mammalia; Artiodactyla; Bovidae
Exons: 5
Source: RefSeq, a predicted model, not a curated record
UUCCUCGUCGUCCUUUUCCCCAGCUGGAGAAUAAACUGAAACCUUCUUUUGCAGGAGGGUGCUUGCAAGGAACAGUUUGAGCGUGUUCAGCAGGAGCACUAGCAGGAGUCUGGACAACGGCCGGACUGUCAACUCCAGGGCCGCCACGGAGGUCCACACCCCCAAGUAUUCUCUCCCCCGCCUCAGUAAUUGAAAUCUCCUGCGGUGCAGCCGCCUGGCAUCUGAAUCCUGCUUCCUGCUUGUUGGAAUAAAGGACCUGUUUCCAACUACAGAAGCUGAAGGGGCCACAUCCUCCUUCUCCCUGUCCCUGACAGCUGAGGCUCCUCAAGAGUGGCUGCACCAACUUAAAUCCCCGUGAUGGUGAUUACUUCUUAGAUGUGCCCAUGGGCUUCUCGGGUGAUACUGGUGAGGACCUCAGCACUAAGCAGUCUGACUGAAUGUCUACAGCCUCGCCAGGCAACAAUUUCAACAGAAAAACUGCUGCUGAUACACGGAGUUGGAAGAUUAAGGAAUCAGUUCCUGUUUCUCUGGUUCUGGCCGACCCUAGAAUCAACUCCCUUGAUUGGAAAUAAACAGGAUUUUCCUUUCUGUCCCCAGGAAUGUGACAGAGGAAGGACUCUAGGGGAAAAGGCCUCGUCUGCCAAAGAAUAAUAAUAAUAACAAAGAUGACAGUAGGAAUAAAAUAUCGCCCUCUUCAUCAAGGCGAUAAGGAAGUAUCCAGUUAUGCGUGUUGAGCCUUCUCACUCUCCAUAUACAUAUGUUAGAACUUCAGAAUUUAGCCCAGGUUUGAUUUGAACUUUCUGUCCUAUGGUCGUCUUGAGUGUACUGAACAAAUUGGGCUACAUGUCUCACCUUUGGUUUCAGAAGAUAGGACCCCAAUUAGAGCACUUCGUGUUGAUGUAUUACCUUAAAUGUCUGAGUAUGAACCUCUUUCCUGGAGGGUGUGUCUGUGUCAUGAGUGCCCCCAGUGCCUGGCAUGGGGCCUAGCCUUUGGAAACCGGGGCAGAGGGGCUGUGAUAUAAAUGGGUGAGGCAGGGAGUCCUCCAGCUCCCUCUCUCUUGGCUGAGGAAUGGCAUGAACCCAGAUGACUACAUGAACCUUCCCUUCCCCUUGGUGCUCCUGGGGCAGGGACAGGAAGCGCUUUAUGCAGGGAGAAACCCCAAUAAGACUCAGCCUCUCUGUUGAUUUCUGCAAACUCCUUGUGUUCCAAAGAAAUCAUUUGCCCACUUCUGGGCCAGCUGGAUGAGUUUGCUCUCUCCCCUCCCAAGGGCAGGUCCAUGUUACCUGAAGAAACUUCCCUUUUUGGUUAAGAAGGUGAUGAGGUAGAAGAAUGUCCCCGCCCUGCUCACUCUUCCAGUCUUCCUCGGUUCAGAGAUAGAUACUUUUUCUCCUUCUCCUCUCCCUCCUGCUCCUUCUCCUUGUUCCUCUGUUCUGAAGAUUAACUUCCCAAAGCUGAGGGGAGUAAGGAGAGGUGAAUCCAAUCUGUUCCUAGAGGAGCCCUCCUUCACUACAUUAAACAAAUUUUUACUCUGCUGUGUAACUUUCAAUAGCUCCCUGUUGUCAUCAAUUUACAUUUCUAACAUUAAAGCCCACUUUAAUAUGAGCUGUCUUGAACUUUGUUCUUUGUGAUUUCCCAAUGUUCUCUCCCCGGAGUCAACUGGCCUUCCCAGUGUGUUCACUUAGUGGAGACGAGUGGUUGGAGAGGCAUUUGAGGCAAAACCAACAGCUAAAAGGCAAGCAGAGGAUGGCACAAGCAAGAAAGGAGGCCGGAGAGGCAAAGGUUGAUGGGAUAUAAAAGGUCUGAGGGACAGAGAAAGGGCAGGCGGGUCAACCCUCAGAAGUCACCCCCACUCAUCAGAAUGCUGACAAUAAAGAUGCAUGUUACGAUGCAUUAGCACCACGCCUGAGAGAGAACUGUGAUGGCCACAAAAUGCUGAACCACCAUUAUAACCAUCAUCAUCAACUGAACAACUAGGGCUUUCUAAGAUCUAAGGUUUAGAUCUAUGGAGUAAUAAAACGGGAACAAUGAAAAGGCCUGUGAACACCCUCUUUGAUGGAGGUGGGAAGCUACAGUCAUCAAUAAGUCUACUGAACUGAGGUACUUGCAAUGCCCAUGAGACCUGGAGUCUGGCGUGUCAGGAGUCAGUUUUCCCUUCUCUGUUCAAAUGGUGCCUAUGCCCAUUGGUAUUAAAGAAGCAGGGUGGAAAGGCUAGUAACUGUUGGGCUGGCUCUCAGUUGCAAUAGGGCAUGGGUAAUACAUGAAAUUGAACUGGAAUCUGGUAAUUUUUUUGCCAGCAAAAGUCUGUCCAAAGAUACGGUUUUCCCAGUAGUCAUGUAUGGAUGUGAGAGUUGG